CCUUAGAGUCCCAAAUGAAUGGGAUACUCUCCCUUGCGCCACCCAGAAAGACUCAUGCCUUUUCUCAUCAUACAAAAUUAGUUUGUGCAUGAAAAAAUUAAAAACUAACACCCUUUUUGUUGCCCUAUAUGGAUUGGAUUUGGUUUGUUUUAAAUUUGAUUCAAAAGGUUUGAAUUUAAACCUAAAACUUUAUCCUUAUUCUCCCAC
This 207-nucleotide long non-coding RNA is filed under the name Elaeis guineensis (African oil palm). RNAcentral describes it as "long non-coding RNA (EGUI_LNC070969)". The record is from RNAcentral. Lineage: Eukaryota; Viridiplantae; Streptophyta; Magnoliopsida; Arecales; Arecaceae.